This 468-nucleotide ribosomal RNA is filed under the name uncultured bacterium. RNAcentral's name for it is "partial 16S ribosomal RNA". It matches the Rfam family "Bacterial small subunit ribosomal RNA", at positions 28 to 507 of the family's 1533-position model. The record is from RNAcentral.
GACGAACGCUGGCGGCGUGCUUAACACAUGCAAGUCGAACGGAAAGGCCCUGCUUUUGUGGGGUUCUCGUGUGGCGAACGGGUGAGUAACACGUGAGUAACCUGCCCUUGACUUUGGGAUAACUUCAGGAAACUGGGGCUAAUACCGGAUAGGAUCUCCUGCUGCAUGGUGGGGGUUGGAAAGUUUCGGCGGUUGGGUAUGGACUCGCGGCUUAUCGGCUUGUUGGUGGGGUAGUGGCUUACCACGGCUUUGACGGGUAGCCGGCCUGAGAGGGUGACCGGCCACCUUGGGACUGAGAUAGGGCCCAGACUCCUACGGGAGGCAGCAGUGGGGAAUAUUGCACAAUGGGCGGAAGCCUGAUGCAGAAACGCCGCGUGCGGGAUGACGGCCUUCGGGUGGAAAACCGCUUUCGCCUGUGACGAAGCGUGAGUGACGGUAAUGGGUAAAGAAGCACCGGCUAACUACGUG